RNAcentral lists this ribosomal RNA (432 nucleotides) under uncultured bacterium. Its description in RNAcentral is "partial 16S ribosomal RNA". It matches the Rfam family "Bacterial small subunit ribosomal RNA", at positions 338 to 795 of the family's 1533-position model. The record is from RNAcentral.
CCUACGGGAGGCAGCAGUGGGGAAUAUUGGACAAUGGGGGCAACCCUGAUCCAGCCAUGCCGCGUGAGUGAUGAAGGCCUUCGGGUUGUAAAGCUCUUUUGGCGGGGACGACGUACCCGCAGAAUAAGCCCCGGCUAACUUCGUGCCAGCAGCCGCGGUAAGACGAAGGGGGCUAGCGUUGUUCGGAAUUACUGGGCGUAAAGCGAGUGUAGGUGGUUGUCCAAGUUGGAUGUGAAAGCCUUGAGCUCAACUCAAGAAAUGCAUUCAGGACUGGGCGGCUAGAGGACCGGAGAGGAUAGUGGAAUUCCCAGUGUAGUGGUGAAAUACGUAGAGAUUGGGAAGAACACCAGUGGCGAAGGCGGCUAUCUGGACGGUUCUGACACUAAGACUCGAAAGCGUGGGGAGCAAACAGGAUUAGAUACCCUUGUAGUC